Molecule: ribosomal RNA, 658 nt
Filed under: Vibrio sp. AOH-63
Lineage: Bacteria; Pseudomonadati; Pseudomonadota; Gammaproteobacteria; Vibrionales; Vibrionaceae
Description: bacterial SSU rRNA
Rfam family: Bacterial small subunit ribosomal RNA
Source: RNAcentral
GGCCUAACACAUGCAAGUCGAGCGGAAACGACACUAACAAUCCUUCGGGUGCGUUAAUGGGCGUCGAGCGGCGGACGGGUGAGUAAUGCCUAGGAAAUUGCCUUGAUGUGGGGGAUAACCAUUGGAAACGAUGGCUAAUACCGCAUAAUGCCUACGGGCCAAAGAGGGGGACCUUCGGGCCUCUCGCGUCAAGAUAUGCCUAGGUGGGAUUAGCUAGUUGGUGAGGUAAUGGCUCACCAAGGCGACGAUCCCUAGCUGGUCUGAGAGGAUGAUCAGCCACACUGGAACUGAGACACGGUCCAGACUCCUACGGGAGGCAGCAGUGGGGAAUAUUGCACAAUGGGCGAAAGCCUGAUGCAGCCAUGCCGCGUGUAUGAAGAAGGCCUUCGGGUUGUAAAGUACUUUCAGUUGUGAGGAAGGGGGUAGCGUUAAUAGCGCUAUCUCUUGACGUUAGCAACAGAAGAAGCACCGGCUAACUCCGUGCCAGCAGCCGCGGUAAUACGGAGGGUGCGAGCGUUAAUCGGAAUUACUGGGCGUAAAGCGCAUGCAGGUGGUUCAUUAAGUCAGAUGUGAAAGCCCGGGGCUCAACCUCGGAACUGCAUUUGAAACUGGUGAACUAGAGUACUGUAGAGGGGGGUAGAAUUUCAGGUGUAGCGGU